UCUCCGUUGGUGAACCAGCGGAGGGAUCAUUACCGAGUUUACAACUCCCAAACCCCUAUGUGAACGUUACCAAACUGUUGCCUCGGCGGGAAAUUCAUGCUCCGGGCGCGCUGCAGCCCCGGACCAAGGCGCCCGCCGGAGGACCAACCAAAACUCUUUUGUAUGUCCCUCGCGGACUUUUAUGAUUCCGCACCAUCUCGGCCCCCCUAGCGGGCGUUUCGAAAAUGUAUCAAAACUUUCAACAACGGAUCUCUUGGUUCUG
Molecule: unclassified non-coding RNA, 262 nt
Filed under: plant metagenome
Description: partial contains small subunit ribosomal RNA, internal transcribed spacer 1, and 5.8S ribosomal RNA
Source: RNAcentral